GCCAACGUAGCUUAAUUAAAGCAUAACACUGAAGAUGUUAAGAUGGACCCUAGAAAGUCUCGUUAGCA
Molecule: transfer RNA, 68 nt
Filed under: Acanthogobius flavimanus (yellowfin goby)
Lineage: Eukaryota; Metazoa; Chordata; Actinopteri; Gobiiformes; Gobiidae
Also listed under: 2 other names
Description: tRNA-Phe
Rfam family: tRNA
About the family: Transfer RNA (tRNA) molecules are approximately 80 nucleotides in length. Their secondary structure includes four short double-helical elements and three loops (D, anti-codon, and T loops).
Source: RNAcentral